UAGCACUCUGGACUCUGAAUCCAG
RNAcentral lists this non-coding RNA (24 nucleotides) under Gallus gallus (chicken). The record is from RNAcentral. Lineage: Eukaryota; Metazoa; Chordata; Aves; Galliformes; Phasianidae. RNAcentral also lists the same sequence under 3 other names.